This 4470-nucleotide long non-coding RNA is filed under the name Sus scrofa (pig). RNAcentral's name for it is "lncRNA (ENSSSCG00040063859.1)". The record is from RNAcentral. Lineage: Eukaryota; Metazoa; Chordata; Mammalia; Artiodactyla; Suidae.
UACACCACAGCUCACAGCAACACUGGAUGCUUAACCCACUGAGCAAGGCCAGGGACCGAAUUGGAGUCCUCAUGGAUGCUAGUUGGUUUAUUAACCGCUGAGCUGCAAUGGGAACUCUACCCCACAAGCUUUAAAACGGCCCAUAUGGUGGGCCUUCAGCAGCAGACCCAACACACACGGUCACCCAGAGGGUGGGGACCAGCCCCAUGCAAGUCAUCAACCAGCGCCGCCUACAGAACAAACCCCUGUACCACAUGUUUGUCCCUAAGACUACUGUAAAACCAAAGGGGACCCCUGGGCACCUGGCAGGGUCAUGGGGAGGAACCCCACCCAUGCAUGGGGAUGGACCAAGUGGACUCUGGCCUCCCAAGGCAGGGCAAUGACACCUCAUCACAGAGGAAGUGGAGAAGGUCACCCAUCACUAUCACUAUUCUAGUCCAGGAGGUCAGAUCCACAAUGCGGAAGUUCCCAAGAGCAGGAAGCAGAGACUGAAAGAGACCCCCAGAAAGCCAGCUUAGGAGUCUGCAUGAUAGGAUGGGAAUGAAUAUAGGACAAGAAGGAAAUGUUCCAUUUCAGAUUUCCUCCCGGGGAAAAACCGUUCCGAGGAAAUACUUUGAUAAGCAGCCUGUGGUGUGGGGGCAAAAUUCCAGGAGCACGCACAAGUAAUAAGGACGGCAGACACACGUCCUUCUGAGCCCUGGAGGAUGCUCUGCUUCAUGGGAUUUGGGUUUGGGAGUUGGAGAGCAGGACUGAGGAAAGAGCUGGGAAGCUUGGCACAAAGAGGAGAGCGAUUCUGGAUCCUGAUAUGAUGAAGAGCCAGGUGUCCGGGCACCGCACAGAGGACAACUGGGAAUGACCAGCAGUGGUCCCUGGUAAUCAGAAGUUUCUACUGAGGAUGCUAGAAAGUCACUGUGCUGUGGCCCAGGGCUCAUCCCAAGUGCCUUUCAGGGUAAGGACUUCUGGAGUGCAAGGGCGAUGUACCCAAGUGCCUUUCAGGGUAAGGACUUCUGGAGUGCAAGGGUGAUGUCUCGAAUGACACGUGAGCAAAUACCUCCAGCAUGCCUAGAAGCAGGGGCCAGGGGAUGAGGCAGAGCUGGCCUCAGGCUGCAGAAAGAACACAGGGUAGGAGAUAGAGGCUUGAGGGCAAGGCCCAGCUCUGCAGCUAAUGAUGUUUGAGACCCAGAAAAGCUCCUUCCCGCUCUCUGCUUUAUUCACUCAACCCUAAAAAGGGCUCAUGGCCUUUCAGCCCUAACAGUCUAUGACUCUGAUUUUAGUUCAACCCUCUCCUCAACACAGCAUGGGAAGGAGGGGGCUAUUAGCAGAGCAUGUGUGCAUUUACAUGGAAUGGGUUUGCUGCCACUCCAGCAUAACGAACUUUCUCACAGAUUACAUGUGCAAAGAACUGCUCAGAGUGAACUGUAAGAUCACUUCGGAUGCACUAUUGAUUUUCAUUAUUUUCGUUUUCUCCAUCCCUGAGUUCCCAGCAAUCAUCCCCCAGUUUGAUGUCACCCAGAAGAAAAAUCUUGGCCUCCUCUUUCUAAUAAUCAGUUCAUAAAGUAUCCUUCAAAGACAAUCUUCUGGGAGUUCCCAUCAUGGCUUAGUGGAAACAAGUCUGACUAGCAUCCAUGAGGACGCAGGUUCAAUCCCUGGCCUCACUCAGUGGGUUAAGGAUCUGGUGUUGCCAUGAGCUGUGGUGUAGGAUGCAGGCUCGACUUGGAUCUGGUGUGGCUGUGGUGUAGGCCAACAGCUACAGCUCCGAUUCAACCCCUUGCUUGGGAAUCUCCAUAUGUCGUGGGUGCAGCCCUAAAAAGACAAGGAAGGAAGGAAGGAAGGAAGAAAAGAAGGAAGGAAGGAAGAAAAGAAGGAAGGAAAUCUCUGUUAUGAAAAAAUUAUCCUGCAAGAGCACAAGGGUGUUUGGGGCCUAGUAUGACUAUCCAUCUGGGAGCGCUCAGCAGCCCUUCUCCUUCAAGGCUCUUCCAAUACCAACUUUCCCACACCUUUCCCCUUGUUUCCCUGCAGUGACCGAGCCAUACACCCUCUAAGCAGCACCAGUUCUCCAGAAGGGUAAGCAAGUUGGAUUUCCGGCAAAGGAGACCUCUUCUGACUUGGCAAGGGCUAUGCAGGGGACUGAGGGUCCUUUUCAGCCUUUCUCUGGAUCCAUUUUCAUCCUAGGCGAGAUGAGCUCUGCACACAAACACUGGGAUGUUACUGUUGGACACUGCUCUGCCUCUGUCAUUGAGGGGCAAUCACAGGUAGCUGUGCACAGAAUGACUUCAACAAUAGAGCAACAAGAUGCACAACUCCAAGGCUAUUUUUUUUUUUUUUACAAAGAAUAAAAACGAAAACUAGAAAGACUGGCUCACCUAAAAAACGUUCAGGACAGUGGGAAAUACGUCAAGGGACUAUGAUGGAGGGAAAGACCACAGAGAAGGGCGACUCCAGGGCUUAAUGGGUUGGCCUUGGGGUCCUGAGACAAUGCAUUCAUUCAUAGGUGUACAAAGGCCCAGUCACUGUCCUAGGUGCUGAAUCCCUACAUAGCCAAAAACAGCCCACAAGGUCCCUACUCUCCCAGCACUUACAGUCUGGUAAGGGGAAACCAACAAUUCAGUCGUAAACAUACCAUAGACAAGAUGACACAGAAAACUGUAAAUGCUGUGAAGAAAACCAAACAGGAUGGAGUGAUUGAGAGACACCGGCAGAGUCAGAGAGGCCUCUCGCAUAGCCUGAGUGUUUAGCCUCUUUUCAGAGGUGACCUUCAGUAGCGACCUGUGGACUGAUAUCAAGGCAGCCAUGCAAAGAUCAGAACAAGGGCAUUCUGAACAUCAACGACAGACCAUACAAAGGUCCAUCGGUGACUUCCAGGGCAGAAACGAGGUCUGUGUGGCUAACACACAGGAUUUUUGUUUGUUUGUUUUUGCUGUCUUAGAAGUUUAGGAGGCAAUGCCUAAGAAAUAUAAGUGCCAGGAGCACUCCACUCUGCACCAUGAGACACAUUUUCGCUUUUGUUUGCCUAUGAUGAUUUUUUUCUCCCCCUACUUCUUUAGAAAAACAAAUGCUGAGCAGAGGUUAGGAACAAAUCUUGGCAUAAAUGUAAACAUCUACUCUGUGGAGACACAAGCAAGAAAUGUGUUUGUUUCUAAUCUGCAAAAGGUAGGAGAGGCCUUAACUCAACUGUUUGCUGGGAGACCCAGACUUUACACGUAUCCCAGUGGGUCCUGAAGCCAACUUAAUGGAUCGUCCUCGUUGAGGAUUCUAGUGUCUUUGGUGGAAGCGAGUGAGCAAAAGCAAACUGAGAUAUUAGAAGAGGCAAAAUAUCUAAGAAGAGAAACUGCAGAUAGAGUCGAGGAAAUGAAUGGGCUGCCGGCAGCAAAUAUCACUUCCGUGAUUCCUGGGAAGGAAUCACGUGACUACCUUCAGUGCGCUAGCUUGCUGCGUGGAUGGCCUCUAAUGAGGCACAGUUUCUAACCAGUUGGAUUUCACAUUGCUCAGUGCCAGCUUGGUGAUUUGUUUUGCAUGAAACACUGCAGCCUGUUAACCCAGUGAGUUACAGUUCUAGGUAGGCAGCCAGAAUCUCUCACAGCCCUGAAACCCUUUUUUCUUAAAAUAAAAAGUGAUGAGGAUGAGGAGGAUGACAAUAAAGGAAAUGAGUUCAAUCAGGUUACCAUCUUGAAAUCUUGAACGAGUCAGGCUAAAAUGACCCAAAUAAUGGACCUCCUUUUUUUUUUUUUUUUUAAUCUUUUCUGGAUCAUGCCAGGGAAGAGCUCGAUCCAUUUUUCAACGUUUCUCUGCCCUCUCUGCUCUUGUUGGGGGAACGAGGCCUCUCCAUUUCUUUCCUUUCGGGCUCAAGAUAAUUUAGAGUUCUGGAGGAAGCAGGACACUUUGGGACUCUGGCCUGGGACAGACUGAGUGGUGAUGCUGAGGUGUGAGAAUUCAGGAGCAGAGGCAUCACACUUCAUUCAUCUCCACUGUACAAUGUAAAUGUUCUCCUGUGUGUGACACCACAAAAGCAGGCGUUUUCUUCUUUGCGAGAUGGAACAAGAACCAUCCCUAGCCAUAGUCGGUAUGGGGUCUCUCUUGCUGAUUCAAAUGAACUUAAAACCUUGGGCUGAGUGGAGUCUGAUCCCCUGCACCUGCCUCACUGAGCUGCAUCAGUGUCUGGAAACCUCUGUGGUUCCUCUCUCCACAUUUCUCCUCCUCCUCCUGGAACAGAAGGGAACAGACAGAGUAUGCUAGCUUUGACACCAGGAAGGCAUGUCCCUGCUCCCUUUACAAGGGGACAUUUGAUGGAUAAAAUAGCUCACAUCCAAGCUUCCUCUCCAACAGGUCAGGACAAGACAACUCAGUGGUCACAAAUGGAAGGUAGAAGGUGGGUCUUGGUUUGCUGAGUUUCAGCUGCAACUGUUACCUCAACGGGAACUGUACAGAGCUAAUCCGAACACUGGCUCCAUCAAUGCAUGUAACUUAAAUGAC